AUGGACUCCGGAGCCAUGGUUAAUGGUUCGGCGAAAUAUACCUAUUUGAUCUCAUUAAAAAGGUCUUAUACCACCAUGAUGGCACAUUUACUGGUCCACCCCACUUCUAUAUUUAAAUGGGUUGAGCUCAACAAAACAGGGACACUGAGCCCCCCUCUUACCGGGAUCAUCUGUCUGCCUGGUGGACGAGCUGCGUCCUGCCCACUGCACCCAAUUCACAUAGAAAUUUACUCAAAUACUACAGAGGGUUUCAGGAGGAAGGAUUGCUGGAAGAGAUCAGCGGGACUCACUGAGUGGGCAGAGAAAAAUAGCCAGGCCAGUGAAGAUGGAUGGGUGACAGUCCCAUUGGUCACAGCGAUUCAGCACUCAGUCACCACGGAGACAAGCAGUGAAACCAGGAUUGCUGAAAGCCAAAUGAUUUGUGCUGUGAAAAAAAUUUAUAUUUUAGAUCAUUUUCUUAAACAUAAUUUAAUUUAUCAUGUAAAGUAAUGGAGCUUAAGCACAUUAAAUAAAUGCUCACCAUCAAAAUGGUGAUGUGAUAAG
Cyprinus carpio (common carp) is the source of this 543-nucleotide long non-coding RNA. Lineage: Eukaryota; Metazoa; Chordata; Actinopteri; Cypriniformes; Cyprinidae. The record is from Ensembl.